This 747-nucleotide ribosomal RNA is filed under the name uncultured bacterium. RNAcentral's name for it is "bacterial SSU rRNA". It matches the Rfam family "Bacterial small subunit ribosomal RNA", at positions 67 to 799 of the family's 1533-position model. The record is from RNAcentral.
GGGCAGCGGGGGUGCAGGCUUGCCUGCACCUGCCGGCGACCGGCGCACGGGUGAGUAACACGUAUGGAACCUGCCCGCCACAGGGGGAUAACCCGGGGAAACCCGGCCUAAUACCCCAUGCCGCCCGGACCGGCCAUCCGGACCGGGCGAAAGGAGGAAUCCGGUGGCGGCUGGGCAUGCGGCGCAUUAGCUUGACGGCGGGGUAACGGCCCACCGUGGCGACGAUGCGUAGGGGUUCUGAGAGGAAGGCCCCCCACACUGGAACUGAGACACGGUCCAGACUCCUACGGGAGGCAGCAGUGAGGAAUAUUGGUCAAUGGGCGGAAGCCUGAACCAGCCAAGUCGCGUGAGGGAAUAAGGCCCUACGGGUCGUAAACCUCUUUUGCCGGGGAGCAAGGGCCGGGACGAGUCCCGGCCCGGAGAGUACCCGGAGAAAAAGCAUCGGCUAACUCCGUGCCAGCAGCCGCGGUAAUACGGAGGAUGCGAGCGUUAUCCGGAUUUAUUGGGUUUAAAGGGUGCGUAGGCGGGCUUUUAAGUCAGCGGUAAAAAUUCGGGGCUCAACCCCGUCCGGCCGUUGAAACUGGGGGCCUUGAGUGGGCGAGAAGAAGGCGGAAUGCGUGGUGUAGCGGUGAAAUGCAUAGAUAUCACGCAGAACCCCGAUUGCGAAGGCAGCCUUCCGGCGCCCUACUGACGCUGAGGCACGAAAGUGCGGGGAUCGAACAGGAUUAGAUACCCUGGUAGUCCGCA